UACGUAGGGUGCAAGCGUUAAUCGGAAUUACUGGGCGUAAAGCGUGCGCAGGCGGUUUCGUAAGACAGGUGUGAAAUCCCCGGGCUUAACCUGGGAACUGCAUUUGUGACUGCGAGGCUAGAGUGUGUCAGAGGGAGGUGGAAUUCCGCGUGUAGCAGUGAAAUGCGUAGAGAUGCGGAGGAACACCGAUGGCGAAGGCAGCCCCCUGGGAUGUGACUGACGCUCAUGUACGAAAGCGUGGGGAGCAAACAGG
RNAcentral lists this ribosomal RNA (253 nucleotides) under uncultured bacterium. RNAcentral describes it as "partial 16S ribosomal RNA". It matches the Rfam family "Bacterial small subunit ribosomal RNA", at positions 524 to 776 of the family's 1533-position model. The record is from RNAcentral.